RNAcentral lists this ribosomal RNA (425 nucleotides) under uncultured bacterium. RNAcentral's name for it is "partial 16S ribosomal RNA". It matches the Rfam family "Bacterial small subunit ribosomal RNA", at positions 354 to 796 of the family's 1533-position model. The record is from RNAcentral.
GUGGGGAAUCUUGCGCAAUGGGCGAAAGCCUGACGCAGCCAUGCCGCGUGAAUGAUGAAGGUCUUAGGAUUGUAAAAUUCUUUCACCGGGGACGAUAAUGACGGUACCCGGAGAAGAAGCCCCGGCUAACUUCGUGCCAGCAGCCGCGGUAAUACGAAGGGGGCUAGCGUUGCUCGGAAUUACUGGGCGUAAAGGGCGCGUAGGCGGAUCGUUAAGUCAGGGGUGAAAUCCCAGAGCUCAACUCUGGAACUGCCCUUGAUACUGGCGAUCUUGAGUGUGAGAGAGGUAUGUGGAACUCCGAGUGUAGAGGUGAAAUUCGUAGAUAUUCGGAAGAACACCAGUGGCGAAGGCGACAUACUGGCUCAUUACUGACGCUGAGGCGCGAAAGCGUGGGGAGCAAACAGGAUUAGAAACCCCAGUAGUCC